Cornus florida is the source of this 443-nucleotide long non-coding RNA. RefSeq lists it as uncharacterized. Lineage: Eukaryota; Viridiplantae; Streptophyta; Magnoliopsida; Cornales; Cornaceae. The record is from RefSeq and is a predicted model, not a curated record. The transcript is spliced from 2 exons.
UACUUUCUUAUUCCUCUCUCCCUGAUCUGCUUUCUCUCUCUUUAUCUUCCCCGACAAUAGAUCCAGUUUGAACGUUCAGAUCUAGAGUUCUCUUUCACUCUAUUGGACUCUCCUUCGUUUCCUGUUUCUCUCCCCACCGGCCGAAGGAACUAAGCGGUGGACUAAACUUGGUCUGCUCCGGGGAGCCAUUAUUCAAUUGGGUCUCUCAACCCAGAUGUAAGGUGUAAAUUGGGUAUUUCAACUUGCCUCUCCUCCGAUAUUCAAUUGGGUUUGGAGACCACAUGAAGACAAAUAAAUCUCUAUGAACUCUCUCUUUCUCUCUCUCUAACACCGAAUUCGUAGAGUAAAACUGUAAAAAAACAAUUAGUGAACCAGAGAUUCCCAAAGAUCUACAAGCACUUUCUUGAAUUCUGUUUAAAAAAAAAAAAAAAAAAAAAAAAGAA